UGCGUAGGCGGCUAUGUAAGUCAGAAGUGAAAGCUAUCAGCUUAACUGAGGAAUUGCUUUUGAUACUGCAUAGCUUGAAUAAGGUUGAGGUCGGCGGAAUGUGGCAUGUAGCGGUGAAAUGCAUAGAUAUGCCAUAGAACACCGAUUGCGAAGGCAGCUGGCUAGACCUUUAUUGACGCUGAGGCACGAAAGCGUGGGGAGCGAACAGGAUUAGAUACCCUGGUAGUCC
This 229-nucleotide ribosomal RNA is filed under the name uncultured bacterium. RNAcentral describes it as "partial 16S ribosomal RNA". It matches the Rfam family "Bacterial small subunit ribosomal RNA", at positions 568 to 796 of the family's 1533-position model. The record is from RNAcentral.